Molecule: ribosomal RNA, 403 nt
Filed under: uncultured bacterium
Lineage: Bacteria
Description: bacterial SSU rRNA
Rfam family: Bacterial small subunit ribosomal RNA
Source: RNAcentral
GGGGAAUAUUGGGCAAUGGGCGAAAGCCUGACCCAGCAACGCCGCGUGAGGGAAGAAGGUUUUCGGAUCGUAAACCUCUGUCCUUGGGGACGAAAUAAAUGACGGUACCCAAGGAGGAAGCCCCGGCUAACUACGUGCCAGCAGCCGCGGUAAUACGUAGGGGGCGAGCGUUGUCCGGAAUGAUUGGGCGUAAAGGGCGCGUAGGCGGCCUGUUAAGUCUGGAGUGAAAUUCCUGCUUUCAAGGUAGGAAGUGCUUUGGAAACUGGCGGGCUGGAGUGCAGGAGAGGUUAGCGGAAUUCCCGGUGUAGCGGUGAAAUGCGUAGAGAUCGGGAGGAACACCAGUGGCGAAGGCGGCUAACUGGACUGUAACUGACGCUGAGGCGCGAAAGUGUGGGGAGCAAAC